UAAUACGAAGGGGGCUAGCGUUGCUCGGAAUUACUGGGCGUAAAGGGCGCGUAGGCGGGUCGUUUAGUUAGAGGUGAAAGCCCAGGGCUCAACCCUGGAACUGCCUUUAAUACUGGCGACCUAGAGUAUGACAGAGGUGUGUGGAACUCCGAGUGUAGAGGUGAAAUUCGUAGAUAUUCGGAAGAACACCAGUGGCGAAGGCGACACACUGGGUCAUUACUGACGCUGAGGCGCGAAAGCGUGGGGAGCAAACAGGAUUAGAUACCCUGGUAGUCCACGCUGUAAACGAUGAGUGCUAGUUGUCGGGCGGCAUGCCGUUCGGUGACGCAGCUAACGCAUUAAGCACUCCGCCUGGGGAGUACGGUCGCAAGAUUA
RNAcentral lists this ribosomal RNA (375 nucleotides) under uncultured bacterium. Its description in RNAcentral is "bacterial SSU rRNA". It matches the Rfam family "Bacterial small subunit ribosomal RNA", at positions 521 to 896 of the family's 1533-position model. The record is from RNAcentral.